CGUACACUCCUACGGGAGGCAGCAGUGGGGAAUAUUGGACAAUGGGCGCAAGCCUGAUCCAGCCAUGCCGCGUGAGUGAUGAAGGCCCUAGGGUUGUAAAGCUCUUUCACCGGUGAAGAUAAUGACGGUAACCGGAGAAGAAGCCCCGGCUAACUUCGUGCCAGCAGCCGCGGUAAUACGAAGGGGGCUAGCGUUGUUCGGAUUUACUGGGCGUAAAGCGCACGUAGGCGGACUAUUAAGUCAGGGGUGAAAUCCCGGGGCUCAACCCCGGAACUGCCUUUGAUACUGGUAGUCUUGAGUUCGAGAGAGGUGAGUGGAAUUCCGAGUGUAGAGGUGAAAUUCGUAGAUAUUCGGAGGAACACCAGUGGCGAAGGCGGCUCACUGGCUCGAUACUGACGCUGAGGUGCGAAAGCGUGGGGAGCAAACAGGAUUAGAUACCCGUGUAGUCCCAUG
Molecule: ribosomal RNA, 453 nt
Filed under: uncultured organism
Description: partial 16S ribosomal RNA
Rfam family: Bacterial small subunit ribosomal RNA
Source: RNAcentral